UUAUGGCCAUAUCAUGUUGAAACACCAGUUCUCAUCUAGUCACUGAAGCUAAGCAAUGUAGACCUGGUUAGUACCUAGAUGGGUGACCGCUUGAGAAUACCAGGUGCUGUAAG
This is a non-coding RNA of Acanthosepion pharaonis, 113 nucleotides long. The record is from the annotation of a GenBank genome assembly. NCBI's taxonomy places the organism in Eukaryota, Metazoa, Mollusca, Cephalopoda, Sepiida, Sepiidae.